UACCCGCUGGAAUUUAAGCAUAUAAUUAAGCGGAGGAAAAGAAACUAACCAGGAUUCCCCUAGUAAGGGCGACUGAAGCGGGAAGAGCUCACAGUGUGAAUCUGCACUCUUGUAGUGCCGAAUUGUGGUCUGUAGAAGUUUGUGUUUGGCCGGCCGGGUUAAGUCCCUUGGAAAAGGGCAGCAGAGAGGGUGAGACUCCCGUUCUUGCCUGGGUUUGGCCAUUUGACACUUACUUUCAACGAGUCGAGUUGUUUGGGAUUGCAGCUCAAAGUGGGUGGUAAAUUCCAUCUAAAGCUAAAUAUGGGUGGGAGACCGAUAGCGUACAAGUACCGUGAGGGAAAGAUGCAAAGAACUUUGAAAAGAGAGUUAAAGAGUACCUGAAAUUGCUGAAAGGGAAGCGAAGGAAACCAGUGCUUGGCUUGGUCAUAUUUCUCGAAUCGCUUGCGGUUUGGGCGCUGUGUCGUUGCCUUUGUCAUUUUUGCUUGUUCUCGGCGGAAACGUGUGUUCGGGAGGUAGCGCUUGCGUGAUACCGUUCACAUUAUUGCUGGGUUUGAGUGAGGCUGACGAAAUGGUUUUCUUUACCCCGUCUUGAAACACGGGACCAAGGA
Molecule: ribosomal RNA, 608 nt
Filed under: Asterionellopsis glacialis
Lineage: Eukaryota; Bacillariophyta; Plagiogrammaphyceae; Rhaphoneidales; Asterionellopsidaceae
Description: LSU rRNA
Rfam family: Eukaryotic large subunit ribosomal RNA
Source: RNAcentral